CUUUAUACUGGUUUGAAAAUUACACAUUGGAAUUUUAAUUUUUAAUAGAUACACUUAAGCUUUUACCAUUGAAAACUGAUUUAAAUCCCAAUGUCAAUCCUAUAUCUUCCUUCCAAAGAAUACAAGGAAUUUCAGACUCUUAAAGCAAAGUCUUCCUCCUUUCCACAUGGUAUUCUUGUCCAGUAUUUUAGUUUCACUCCUAUUUUCCCUUUACAUUUUUUAUUUUAAAAUAAUUGGAUUCAUAAAAAGUUUCAAAAUUAAUACAAGGAAUUUCAAAUAUCCAGUUUCCCUAAUGGUUACAUCUUAAAUAGCUAUGUAAAAUGCCAAAACCAGGAAACUGACAUUGAUAUGACAUUUUUGUAUAAUUCUACGUCACUUUAUCACAUAUGUAGAUUCAUAUAACCACCACUACAAUCAAGAUACAGAAUGUUCUGUCAUCAUAAAGUACUUUCUCAUGCUAUUCCUUUAUACUCACCCCCCUACUCCUUUCUGCCCCACUUCUACCUACCAUCCUUAACACUGGCAACUACUAAUGCUUUCCUUCAAUUUUGUCAUUUUGAAGAUGCUAUAUAAAUGGAAUCAUACUUUAAGUAGCCUUUUGGGAUUGGCUUUUUUGUGUGUGUGCUCAGUAUAAUGCUCUUUAUUUUCUAGGCUCAUUCUAUUAUUUUAAGUACAUUCUUUAGUAAUUCUUUCACAGAGUCUAUAAGUUAGUGGACUCUUUCACUUCUUGUUUGUUCUGGAAAUGUCAUUAUUAUGCCCUUAUUCUUGAAUAAUACCUUAGGUGGAAAUAUAUAUCAACUGGGAAAAGAGAAACGAUUCCAGGUAUUUAAAAUUAAAAGGUAUCUUGCUACAGAAAUUUAGGUGCUACAAACUGUAAGAAAUAUUCUCAAUCACUUCUUCAUCAAAUAUUCUCUCUCCUUCAUUCUUCCAUGGUCUUCAUCUAUAACUCUUAGUAGAUGUAUGUUGAACUCCAUAUCAUAUUUUCUAUUUCUAUAACUCUGUACUGCCUUCAGGAUAAUUUCCUCAAAUUUAUCUUACAGUUGUUAAUUCUCUCUUCACUGGCCAUAUUUUUCAUUUUUUAGAUAUUCUUCUUUUUUUUGCUUAUUCAUUUUGCUUAAAAAUAGCCUGUAUUUUAAUAUUUAUAUUAUGUGCUCAAUUAUCAGAAGUUAAUAGAGGAUAAUACUGGUAUAUAUUGGUUCUACUGAUUCUUGUUCAUACUGGCUGUUUCCUUGCAUAUUUUAUAACUUUCAGAAAGUGAGCCCAUGCUAAGCAGUGGAUUUUCUGAGGGAAUACAGCGUAGCCUGGGUUGAGAACACACCCUUUUAAAAUGGCUUUUGUCUUAAGUUUCUGUAAGGCACCUCAGGAGUAUUAACAUUCAGUAACUAUACGUUGGUUGAUUUCCCAGUGUAUAGAACUAGUCAGGAGUAUAAAUUUAAACCUCAAACCUAAAAAGGGUAUGCCUAUGAUUAUGAUCAGAAAUUCAUGGGGAAGCUUUUAAAAUUUUCCCCACUUAGACACUGGGCCCAGGUUGAGAAAAAAAUCUUCCUUGUGGUCUGUCUCUGCUGAAAAGUAGAUGUUUUGUUUCUGUUUUUAAUAUCCUGUUAUUUGAUAAUGCUCCUAGGGUUCCUGCUUAAUACUGGUGUUUCAUUUCUAACUCUGUUCACCAUGUAGGCCCCAGAUCUUGUCUCCAAAUCUUGACUGGCUAUUAAAUCUAUAUCCUUGGGCCAAGACAUCCCACCAUCCCAUUCUCAUGGUAGUCCAUGUCACUACUCAUGCUUCCCACUCUGUUUUUUAAACCCUAUAUAUUUUCAGGUCUUAAGAUUUUUCCUUACUUUCUUGUAAGCACAGCUAUACAACCAAAACGAUAUUUGUUGCAUAUUAUAGUAUUUCUAAAUAUGUAGUAGUAUGAGAGUUUUCAAGUUAAUACUAAGUUGCCUGUCUAGGAAUUCUCUAUUAAAUCUUUUUAUUUGUCACAUAGCCCAUGGCACAGCAUCUGCUAGGCAGCAGUGUAUCAUAAAUGUGAUGAGUGACUGGUUGAAUGAAUGAAUUACCAUUCUUUAUCAGCAUUCAUUUCCUUCAUUAAUUAUUUUUCUCCAACUCUGAUUUCCCAAAUUCCUCAUAAAUUUGUGAAUGACAUAUUUUAUGGACUUCAUUUAGACUAACAUAAUUUUCUCACAUUAACUAUUAUACCAGUCAUGGUAAUAAUCCUGCAUUCAGUUUGUUCCCUUCUAUUUGCCCUACGUGGACCUGUUGGUCCUCUUUUUACCAUGAAACUCUUGCUAUGUCAUUUUAUUGCCAAGAGGUUUGCAAAAAUCUUAUUUUGGUCAUUUUUAUCGUCUUAAACUCUUUUCUUCUUUCAAUAGUUAUAUUCAACUGCAUUUUCCACUAAAUAAGGCACUGGCAAAUGUGGGUAGCACAUAAGAUGAUUCUUAAUUAUUGACUGCUGUUAUAUUCUGCUUUAUUCUUAUAACUUAUUAAUUUGAGGAAGAUUUACA
RNAcentral lists this long non-coding RNA (2495 nucleotides) under Homo sapiens (human). RNAcentral's name for it is "non-protein coding lnc-DHX38-16:1". The record is from RNAcentral. Lineage: Eukaryota; Metazoa; Chordata; Mammalia; Primates; Hominidae.